CACUCCUACGGGAGGCAGCAGUGGGGAAUUUUGGACAAUGGGCGAAAGCCUGAUCCAGCAAUGCCGCGUGAGUGAAGAAGGCCUUCGGGUUGUAAAGCUCUUUUGUCAGGGAAGAAACGGUGAAAGCUAAUAUCUUUUGCUAAUGACGGUACCUGAAGAAUAAGCACCGGCUAACUACGUGCCAGCAGCCGCGGUAAUACGUAGGGUGCAAGCGUUAAUCGGAAUUACUGGGCGUAAAGCGUGCGCAGGCGGUUUUGUAAGUCUGAUGUGAAAUCCCCGGGCUCAACCUGGGAAUUGCAAUGGAGACUGCAAGGCUAGAAUCUGGCAGAGGGGGGUAGAAUUCCACGUGUAGCAGUGAAAUGCGUAGAUAUGUGGAGGAACACCGAUGGCGAAGGCAGCCCCCUGGGUCAAGAUUGACGCUCAUGCACGAAAGCGUGGGGAGCAAACAGGAUUAGAAACCCCUGUAGUCCCAUGA
Molecule: ribosomal RNA, 475 nt
Filed under: uncultured organism
Description: partial 16S ribosomal RNA
Rfam family: Bacterial small subunit ribosomal RNA
Source: RNAcentral